Molecule: ribosomal RNA, 556 nt
Filed under: uncultured fungus
Lineage: Eukaryota; Fungi
Description: SSU rRNA
Rfam family: Eukaryotic small subunit ribosomal RNA
Source: RNAcentral
GGAAGGGGUGUAUUUAUUAGAUAAAAAACCAAUGCCCUUCGGGGCUCCUUGGUGAUUCAUAAUAACUUAUCGAAUCGCAUGGCCUUGCGCCGGCGAUGGUUCAUUCAAAUUUCUGCCCUAUCAACUUUCGAUGGUAGGAUAGUGGCCUACCAUGGUGGCAACGGGUAACGGGGAAUUAGGGUUCGAUUCCGGAGAGGGAGCCUGAGAAACGGCUACCACAUCUAAGGAAGGCAGCAGGCGCGCAAAUUACCCAAUCCCGAUACGGGGAGGUAGUGACAAUAAAUACUGAUACAGGGCUCUUUUGGGUCUUGUAAUUGGAAUGAAAACAAUCUAAAUCCCUUAAUGAGGAGCAAUUGGAGGGCAAGUCUGGUGCCAGCAGCCGCGGUAAUUCCAGCUCCAAUAGCGUAUAUUAAAGUUGUUGCAGUUAAAAAGCUCGUAGUUGAACCUUGGGUCUGGCUGGCCGGUCCGCCUCACCGCGUGCACUGGUCCGGCUGGACCUUUCCUUCUGGGGAGCCUCAUGGCCUUUACUGGCUGUGAGGGGAACCAGGACUUUUAC